This 498-nucleotide ribosomal RNA is filed under the name uncultured Oscillospiraceae bacterium. RNAcentral describes it as "partial 16S ribosomal RNA". The record is from RNAcentral. Lineage: Bacteria; Bacillati; Bacillota; Clostridia; Eubacteriales; Oscillospiraceae.
CACGUAGUUAGCCGGAGCUUCCUCCUCUGCUACCGUCAUUAUCUUCACAGAGGACAGAGGUUUACAAUCCGAAAACCGUCUUCCCUCACGCGGCGUUGCUGGUUCAGGGCUUCCCCCAUUGACCAAUAUCCCUCACUGCUGCCUCCCGUAGGAGUCUGGGCCGUGUCUCAGUCCCAAUGUGGCCGUUCAACCUCUCAGUCCGGCUACCGAUCGUCGGCUUGGUGGGCCGUUGCCCCGCCAACUACCUAAUCGGACGCGAGCCCAUCUUUCAGCGGAUUGCUCCUUUGAUUAUCAAGCCAUGCAGCUCAAUAAUAUCAUGCGGUAUUAGCGUUCGUUUCCAAACGUUAUCCCCCUCUGAAAGGCAGGUUGCUCACGCGUUACUCACCCGUCCGCCACUAAGAUAUCCAAGAAUCAUUACCGAAGUACUUCAUCAGCGGAUAUCUCCGUUCGACUUGCAUGUGUUAGGCACGCCGCCAGCGUUCGUCCUGAGCCAGGAUA